RNAcentral lists this ribosomal RNA (486 nucleotides) under uncultured bacterium. Its description in RNAcentral is "partial 16S ribosomal RNA". It matches the Rfam family "Bacterial small subunit ribosomal RNA", at positions 30 to 507 of the family's 1533-position model. The record is from RNAcentral.
AUUGAACGCUGGCGGCAUGCCUUACACAUGCAAGUCGAACGGCAGCACGGGUGCUUGCACCUGGUGGCGAGUGGCGAACGGGUGAGUAAUACAUCGGAACAUCUCCUGUAGUGGGGGAUAGCCCGGCGAAAGCCGGAUUAAUACCGCAUACGAUCUACGGAUGAAAGCGGGGGACCUUCGGGCCUCGCGCUAUAGGGUUGGCCGAUGGCUGAUUAGCUAGUUGGUGGGGUAAAGGCCUACCAAGGCGACGAUCAGUAGCUGGUCUGAGAGGACGACCAGCCACACUGGGACUGAGACACGGCCCAGACUCCUACGGGAGGCAGCAGUGGGGAAUUUUGGACAAUGGGCGAAAGCCUGAUCCAGCAAUGCCGCGUGUGUGAAGAAGGCCUUCGGGUUGUAAAGCACUUUUGUCCGGAAAGAAAUCCUUGGCCCUAAUACGGUCGGGGGAUGACGGUACCGGAAGAAUAAGCACCGGCUAACUACGUG